AUUGAACGCUGGCGGCAGGCCUAACACAUGCAAGUCGAGCGAGCGGCGGACGGGUGAGUAAUGUAUGGGGACUGCCCGAUAGAGGGGGAUAACUACUGGAAACGGUGGCUAAUACCGCAUACUAUCGGAUAACCCAUAUGGGAUUGGCUAGUAGGUGGGGUAAAGGCUCACCUAGGCGACGAUCUCCAGCUGGUCUGAGAGGAUGAUCGGCCACACUGGGACUGAGAAACGGCCCAGACUCCUACGGAGGCAGCAGUGGGGAAUAUUGCACAAUGGGCGCAAGCCUGAUGCAGCCAUGCCGCGUGUAUGAAGAAGGCCUUAGGGUUGUAAAGUACUUUCAGCGGGGAGGCGGUACCUGCAGAAUAAGCACCGGCUAACUACGUGCCAGCCGCCGCGGUAAUAC
Molecule: ribosomal RNA, 403 nt
Filed under: uncultured bacterium
Lineage: Bacteria
Description: partial 16S ribosomal RNA
Rfam family: Bacterial small subunit ribosomal RNA
Source: RNAcentral